UAGAGUUUGAUCCUGGCUCAGGCGAACGGGCGGCGUGCCUAAUACAUGCAAGUCGAGCGGACAGAUGGGAGCUUGCUCCUGAUGUUAGCGGCGGACGGGUGAGUAACACGUGGGUAACCUGCCUGUAAGACUGGGAUAACUCCGGGAAACCGGGGCUAAUACCGGAUGCUUGUUUGAACCGCAUGGUUCAAACAUAAAAGGUGGCUUCGGCUACCACUUACAGAUGGACCCGCGGCGCAUUAGCUAGUUGGUGAGGUAACGGCUCACCAAGGCAACGAUGCGUAGCCGACCUGAGAGGGUGAUCGGCCACACUGGGACUGAGACACGGCUUACGGGAGGCAGCAGUAGGGAAUCUUCCGCAAUGGACGAAAGUCUGACGGAGCAACGCCGCGUGAGUGAUGAAGGUUUUCGGAUCGUAAAGCUCUGUUGUUAGGGAAGAACAAGUACCGUUCGAAUAGGGCGGUACCUUGACGGUACCUAACCAGAAAGCCACGGCUAACUACGUGCCAGCAGGCGGUAAUACGUAGGUGCAAGCGUUGUCCGGAAUUAUUGGGCGUAAAGGGCUCGCAGGCGGUUCCUUAAGUCUGAUGUGAAAGCCCCCGGCUCAACCGGGGAGGUCAUUGGAAACUGGGGAACUUGAGUGCAGAAGAGGAGAGUGGAAUCCACGUGUAGCGGUGAAAUGCGUAGAGAUGUGGAGGAACACCAGGCGAAGGCGACUCUGUAACGACAG
RNAcentral lists this ribosomal RNA (730 nucleotides) under Bacillus mojavensis. Its description in RNAcentral is "bacterial SSU rRNA". It matches the Rfam family "Bacterial small subunit ribosomal RNA", at positions 1 to 736 of the family's 1533-position model. Lineage: Bacteria; Bacillati; Bacillota; Bacilli; Caryophanales; Bacillaceae. The record is from RNAcentral.